UAUACAGCUUCCUUCUUAACCACAGUCUUGUUUUAUUUGUGUAAAAACAAUACGUUUUACUAUAAACAUGGGAUUUUGUGCUUCUUUUGGCCGUAUUAUACUAAUUCUUUUAAAUGUUAUAAUCCUGCUCGUAGCUGUGGCAUUGACCGCGGUGGGAGUUAUCUUAAAAUUCUUUCCCGGUAAAAUAUUUAACGUCUUAUUGAACGUUAUAACAUCGUCGCUAGUCAGCACUCUACCGUUUCAUAUUCCUGAUACACUAGAGUUCUUGCCCCUUGUAGAUGAUCUGGGUGUUGCCCUGAUAGCCAUUGGAUGUUUUCUGUUUAUCAUUUCAUUUUUCGCUUGUUGUGGAGCUUGCUGUAAAUGGAGAAUAUUUUUGAUUGUGUUUGUAAUAUUCAUGUCAGUAAUUAUAAUAACCCAGGCAGUGGUUGGUGGUCUUUUUAUUGCUAAAGAUUCUCCGAUUCAUAAAACAAUAAAAACUAAUUUAAAGAACGAAUUACAGUCGGAUUACACCGGUUCACUUGGUGAAGACAUGUUUUCACUUCUACUCAAUCUGCUCAUGUUCAAGAUGGAAUGUUGUGGUAUUGAAGCUCCAGAUGACUUCUCGACAGCCCAUAACUGGAAGGAAUCAUUCCAAGACGUAAUAAUAAAUAAUGCCAAAGUUCCUGCAGCUUGUUGUAACCAAACUAUAUUCUCGCAUUUACCACUCUUACAGAAUUGCGUUGUUAAUGGCGACGUCAAAUACAUAAAUUCGAUGGGUUGUUAUUAUAGACUAUAUGAGUAUGUAGAUGAUAACAGACUGUAUGCUAUAUUAGGAUUAUGUGCAGUUCUACUGAUACAGAUUAUUCUAGUGGUGUUUGGUAUAGUGUUAAUAAAACAGAUUAAUGACCAAAAGAUAUUACCAAUCUAAAUGUAGCGGGGGGGGGGGGGGGCUAAAUCUAUUUGUUAAGGCCAGCUCAAUUUUUUGUCAAGGUCGCUGAGAUGCAAACAAGGUUAGGGCACGUGAUUGUUGGCGAGAUUGUAGGUUAGGGUUAUGGUAAGCAUUGGGGCUAGGUCCAGGGUUAGGGUUGGGAUUAGCGCUAGCCCUGUUUACAUCUCGUGACCUAUGACGAAAAAUUGAGCUGGCCUUAUCAUUUAGUACUAACCGUGUAGUGGAGGCUCAGAAAAUUAGUGACUGUGAUACUAAAACAACCAAAAAACAAACAGACACAUAUCAUGGUAUUUAUUGUUGGAUGAUGGCUGUCGCUCAAUUAUUCCCUAAUCAUUUUCAAAACUAUAUGUAAAUGUCUCCAUAGGAUUUUUUGAUUUGAUUGAUGGCCUGGACCAGUGGUUCUCAACCAGUGUGCCGCGAGAUCUUUCUAAUCGUGCCGUGAAAUUUUGAACAGCACACUUAGAAAAUGCGAAAAACCACGUGAUCCCAAUUGAGUAUUCCCUGGUGUCUACUGAUGAGGUUUUCUUUAUUUAGUUUGAGUCAUUCUAUAUGUCUAUAACUAGUAUCUGUCUACGGUUGUAUGUCGUCUGACUUGCCAUGUUUUUUUUGUGCAAAAUUCAGAUAUUUUUCAUAUAUAUAUUUAGCCAGGUGUGCCGCUAUUUUUCCAUGUGUUCCAAGGUGUGCCGUUGGCAAAAAAGGGCUGAGAACCACUGGACUGGACCCACUUAUAUAUUAGCACAUUUGAAACAAUCUAGAUUAUAACAUGUGUUUCUUUAUAUAAGAACCCAGGGCUCUGUUUCUCGAAAUCUUAACUAAAGAUAAAAUUCAAAUUUUAGUAGAUACUUCAAUUUUGAUUGGCUAAGUACUAAAAUCAAUCUAAUUACUAAAAUUUGGAUUUUUAUCGUAGUUAAAAUUUAGUAAAACAGGCCCCAAAUUUAUUGUUUUAAAAUGUUCUUGUUGAUAUGGAAACCCAGAUUUUAAAAUGUACUUUUAUAUAUAUAGGAAUCCAGACUCAAGGUUUAAAAAUGUUUAUACAGCAACCUAUAUUUAUGAUUUUAAAAAAUGUGAUUGUUUAUAUGGGAACCCAGUGUUAAUCUUCAAUAUUGCUCCUAUUUGAAAUAUUUAAUUGUUAUUUAUUUUU
Molecule: long non-coding RNA, 2069 nt
Organism: Patella vulgata (common limpet)
Lineage: Eukaryota; Metazoa; Mollusca; Gastropoda; Patellidae
Exons: 7
Source: RefSeq, a predicted model, not a curated record